This 68-nucleotide transfer RNA is filed under the name Makalata didelphoides (Red-nosed armored tree-rat). RNAcentral describes it as "tRNA-Pro". The record is from RNAcentral. Lineage: Eukaryota; Metazoa; Chordata; Mammalia; Rodentia; Echimyidae.
CAAGAAGUAGUUUAAUCAGAACUUCAGUUUUGGGUGCUGAUGGUGUGGCUAUUUUGCCUCUUUCUUGA